UGUACAUGUGACGAUGGAGUCCUUGCUUAAUGAUAAAGACCUCACAAAAACAAUAAAGGAUCUUGUCCGUGGGAGUGGAAGAUUUUACCCUCAGAAGGAUCUGGAAUCAGGUCAGGCAAAGCUGCAGCUAGGGAGUGAGCACCCUUCACAAACACAGAAAAAUGGACUCUCCAACAAAUAAGCUGUGGCAUUUGUAUGACUAUAAAACAAUUUCUGUCUUUUAGAUGCUCAGGUCAAAGACGAAACAAAUAAAUCCUCCAUGGCCUAGUCCGCCAUGCCGUUCAAUAGCUUGUCUUGCUUCAUAAUUAAACAGGAUUUGAAGCUAUAUUUCAUUAAAGAAAUAAAAGAAUCAUUGUACGGUACUCUUUCGAUUUUCUUCAAGUGUCAAAAUUUGGUCAAAGAUCAAGCCCUUUACUUGGUGUUACAUAUUUGUAUAGGAUAUAUCUUUAAUCUUCCAUACUUUUAAAGGAGCCCCCAGACUUCAGGAAACUUUUAAUUUACAUUAAAAUACAAAUUAUUGAGCAUUAGAUUUAGAUUUUAGAUGAUUCAUGUACCCAAUCUAAGUAAUUUAAGAUAUAGGUAUGUGAUAUAAGACUGUUGAGCUGGUAAUUCAGUUGUAACUGUCAUUCAGAUUGUGUUGUAUUAGCAUAUAAGGACUUCUCUUCUCUCUUCUUAAUUGAAUAGAUACAGUAUUGUGUAAUUUAGAAUAGUUAGUUACACAGUUCCUGCCUAAUUGAAUAGAUACAGUAUUGUGUUGUAUUAGCAUUUAAGGAUCUCUAUUGCAAUGGUUACAGACAUGGAUUGAAAUAAUGACUUCUCUUCUCUCUUCUUAAUAUUUUUCUCUCAAGCUAAACAUUCAAAAUUUCCUGUUUUAGCCACCAUCUUCUUCCAACUGCUAUUCCUAGAUUAACUCCACUUUGAUUAUUGACGCCACUGUUUGUGCAUCAAUUGAUAUCAGAGCAGCAAUCAUCGGCAUGACUUGUGACCAGAAGCAAGAAUUACGAAAGGCCCAUUGAAGAUGUGGAUGUUAAUUUUUUGCACAUUCAGAUCAAUUGUAGAAAUUGAUGGAAGGUAUGACCAGUGGCAGAUCCAUAAUUUUAAGCUUGUGGGUGUUUGAUGUUGACACUCAAUUUUGUCGAUCCACAAUAUAGAUUAAUC
This 1158-nucleotide long non-coding RNA is filed under the name Solanum tuberosum (potato). RNAcentral's name for it is "long non-coding RNA (STUB_LNC002559)". The record is from RNAcentral. Lineage: Eukaryota; Viridiplantae; Streptophyta; Magnoliopsida; Solanales; Solanaceae.